GCUCUCGUCGUUCAAUGGAUAGGACAAUAGUUUGCGGAACUGUAAAUUUAGGUUCGAUUCCUAACGGGAGCA
RNAcentral lists this transfer RNA (72 nucleotides) under Arenimonas sp. Its description in RNAcentral is "tRNA-Arg". It matches the Rfam family "tRNA". Rfam says of the family: Transfer RNA (tRNA) molecules are approximately 80 nucleotides in length. Their secondary structure includes four short double-helical elements and three loops (D, anti-codon, and T loops). Further hydrogen bonds mediate the characteristic L-shaped molecular structure. tRNAs have two regions of fundamental functional importance: the anti-codon, which is responsible for specific mRNA codon recognition, and the 3' end, to which the tRNAs corresponding amino acid is attached (by aminoacyl-tRNA synthetases). tRNAs cope with the degeneracy of the genetic code in two manners: having more than one tRNA (with a specific anti-codon) for a particular amino acid; and 'wobble' base-pairing, i.e. permitting non-standard base-pairing at the 3rd anti-codon position. The record is from RNAcentral. Lineage: Bacteria; Pseudomonadati; Pseudomonadota; Gammaproteobacteria; Lysobacterales; Lysobacteraceae. RNAcentral also lists the same sequence under 1 other name.